GGUCCGUUAGCUCAAGUGGUCGAGCACCCGGCUCAUAACCGGUCGGCUCUAGGUUCAAAUCCUAGACGGACCACCA
This 76-nucleotide transfer RNA is filed under the name Clostridiales bacterium. RNAcentral describes it as "tRNA-Ile". It matches the Rfam family "tRNA". Rfam says of the family: Transfer RNA (tRNA) molecules are approximately 80 nucleotides in length. Their secondary structure includes four short double-helical elements and three loops (D, anti-codon, and T loops). The record is from RNAcentral. Lineage: Bacteria; Bacillati; Bacillota; Clostridia; Eubacteriales.